UGCUCCUGAAGAUGUCAUGAGGUGGAAGAGUAGAACGGUAGCUGACAUUCAUAGCUAGUUCUAACAUUUGAACUGAACAAUCACGACAAAAGAAGUCUAUGGCUGUAACAUUCAUAAUAAGUAGUCCCAACAUUUCAAAUUAACAAUCACAACAAAGAAAAUCUACUGCUGCAACAUUUAGAACGAGUACCCUGAAAUAUUUCAAAUCUAACAAAAGGUACUCAUGCGACAUACAU
This 236-nucleotide long non-coding RNA is filed under the name Setaria italica (foxtail millet). Its description in RNAcentral is "long non-coding RNA (SITA_LNC001258)". The record is from RNAcentral. Lineage: Eukaryota; Viridiplantae; Streptophyta; Magnoliopsida; Poales; Poaceae.